GCUCCAGUAGCUCAGCUGGAUAGAGCACCGGCCUUCUAAGCCGGGGGUCGCAGGUUCGAGUCCUGCCUGGGGCGCCUCGU
This 80-nucleotide transfer RNA is filed under the name Allostigmatella aurantiaca DW4/3-1. Its description in RNAcentral is "Stigmatella aurantiaca DW4/3-1 tRNA-Arg". It matches the Rfam family "tRNA". Rfam says of the family: Transfer RNA (tRNA) molecules are approximately 80 nucleotides in length. Their secondary structure includes four short double-helical elements and three loops (D, anti-codon, and T loops). Lineage: Bacteria; Pseudomonadati; Myxococcota; Myxococcia; Myxococcales; Archangiaceae. The record is from RNAcentral.